CUUAGAAGGCGGGAACAUCUCUUCUCUUCAAUUCAUAGCUGAGAAUGAUGGUAUCCAUCAAGUUAAUUAGCAAAAUCGUAACAAUAUUUAAUGAUAUAUCAAUGAAUGUAAUGUUUACAUUUCUAUUAAAAAAGACUACAACUAGCCUAAUCUUUGCAUUCGAUGAAUUCAUGUAGUAUACGCAUAAUAUAUCCGAUAGCUCCGAUUACUUAAAAUCGCAAUAAUUUAUCUUUGUGUACAUAAAUAAAGAUUAGUUUUUAAAUAAUAUAAUAUGUUACGGAUAUUAAGUUUUCGUAAAAAUUUGGUGGUUGUGCACAAAAGAAAGGAAUUAUGCAAUUACAAGAAUUUGUUUUCAACUACACGCGAUUAUUCCAAUACUCCAAAUCCGGACCAUAGUGAUUGUCAUAUCGAUGGAACGCGCAGUCUACCUCGGCUUAUGGACUUACCAGAAACAUUGUGGCCUUCAACAAUUAAUACACUAAAAAAUUGGAUCUUAGUUCAAUUCAUAAUUCGUCCUUACUUCGAUAGAGAUUUUACCAUUAGCGAUUUUAUUAUUGGUGCAAAACAUGCUCUUCAGGUUAUUUCGUCAAAGUUGGUAAAUGGAGAAUUCGCUGCACUAAGCAAUUUUGUGACAAAAGAAGCCAUCGGUGAACUAAAACCCACUAUACAGAAGCUAUCAGUGGCUCAGAGAAAGCAGCUGGAUAUUAAUAAAUCCGAUAUUUACUUCGCUUUCCCCUACCAAGUCGGCAUAAUAUUUGAUGAUGAUCAAGAAAAAGUCCAGAAACGCUGGGUCGAAAUUACAAUGGUUUUCCAUAUUCUUCGAGGACUAACAGAAAUGCGAAAUAGAGGGGAAGAAAUUCCAUGGAAUAUGGGCCAUAUAUGUAUGGUCUCAUACUGCUUUUUGUGCAAUCGUUAGCUCUUUGGCAAUCGGAGCAAUGCUUACCUGACGGUCGGACACGACAAUGUCCUUAAUUUUAUCGACGGUUUCGACAAUUGGACUUCAAUUCCGUGAAUCAUCUAUCUGCUACAUCAAAAUUACCGGAAUGAAACCGUAAUUUCGCAUAAUUGACCGAAACUGUAUCAAGACCAUAAACGAUAUUCUCAUUUUCAGCCGUAUGGCUUACAUUUUCGUCCUUAUCGAAGAAACACUAGAAUAUAGCGUAUUUUCUCUGGUAGUGUCCAUCUUUGACAGAAAAACAAACCUGAAUCACAGUUAAAAAACCCCAACUAUUGUAAAAAUUAGUGAAUUUCUUUUACUAAGACUAAUAUAUAUUUUACGCAUCAUGAGUUUAUUAUUAGUGAUAUUUGGUCAGUUAACCAUAGAAAAAGUAUAGGAAACAAAACAUGGUUAUGCGUAGAAACAAUGAUGUUAACUACCGAUUACCAAGUUUUUGGUGACUAAAACAAAGUUGCGACACUUCUUAAAAAAAUGGCUCUUUGUAACCGCUCAAGCGAUUUUCGGCAGUUAUACUAAGCCGCCUUCGAAUGGCUGAUGUUUUUUCUGAAUAGGCUGAGGAGUCCCUGCCGAGAACUUUACUUAAUGUACUUAAUUAUUACUAACUGAGUGAAUGGAAUUAGUCAACGUAUUAUACGUGGUAUACAGUUAUAGAUUCAAGCGUGAGUCAUUUUUUUGCUACCAUAUGCAGCACACCAACAGACAUUUACUUGAAACCGAGCAACCCAUUCCACAAAUUGUACAAGAUCCGCUGGACAACUUUAAACGCCGUACAUAAAUCAUAAAGGAUCUCUCGAUGUGGCAUAAGCCGCAACAAAUAGUAACACGUUGAGGAUGAAGACGCUUUUCAACAAUAAAUCUUUGCUUUUUGGAGCCCCAGAUGCUAUAGUUUUCCUUAUUGACGCUGCCAUCGAGAUCUCUUCCAGAAUAUCAGGAUAAGGUAUUUGUAUGCAAUUAUCGCUUCAAAAAGGAGUUUACCAGCGAUGCUGAGUCAGAUUGGACAG
RNAcentral lists this unclassified non-coding RNA (1959 nucleotides) under Ceratitis capitata (Mediterranean fruit fly). RNAcentral's name for it is "m-AAA protease-interacting protein 1, mitochondrial, transcript variant X1". The record is from RNAcentral. Lineage: Eukaryota; Metazoa; Arthropoda; Insecta; Diptera; Tephritidae.